RNAcentral lists this ribosomal RNA (330 nucleotides) under uncultured eukaryote. RNAcentral describes it as "partial 18S ribosomal RNA". It matches the Rfam family "Eukaryotic small subunit ribosomal RNA", at positions 1470 to 1796 of the family's 1831-position model. The record is from RNAcentral.
CCCUUAGAUGUCCUGGGCCGCACGCGCGCUACACUGAUGCAUUCAACGAGCCUAUCCUUGACCGACAGGUCCGGGUAAUCUUUGAAUCUGCAUCGUGACGGGGAUAGAUUAUUGCAAUUAUUAAUCUUCAACGAGGAAUGCCUAGUAAGCGCAAGUCAGCAGCUUGCGUUGAUUACGUCCCUGCCCUUUGUACACACCGCCCGUCGCUACUACCGAUUGAAUGGUUUAGUGAGAUCUUCGGAUUGGCGCCACUGCGGCUCAGCAAUGGGCUCGGUGGAUGCCGAAAAGUUGAUCAAACUUGAUCAUUUAGAGGAAGUAAAAGUCGUAACA